CGUUUGGGAGUCUCUGAGCAGCGCUGUUCCGGUACGUGAGUCAACCUCUGUGUCGUUGCCUGGGAAACCACUGGUCGCGCGGCUCCGUUAAGGAUUAUGUUUGCGUAGCGAGCGGGAAAGAGCGGCAGAGAAGUGACGGUGGAUGUGAGGCGGAGCAGAGGAAAAGAUCAGAGGUCGGUGUGUAACAUGUCGGUCGUGGCUCGUAGCGACUCUGCAGCUCCUCUCAGCUGUUUAUCCGUCCGGCUGCAACUUCUACCGUUUAGCGACGAUACAUCUGAAAAUGGCUGAAAAACUAGUGGACAAACCAUCAGCUAAUGCGGACAGAGUUCUCGUGAACUUUGCUUCAGGAAACAAGACGAGCAAACAGGAAGUGAAA
Long non-coding RNA from Thunnus maccoyii (southern bluefin tuna), 376 nucleotides. RefSeq lists it as uncharacterized. NCBI's taxonomy places the organism in Eukaryota, Metazoa, Chordata, Actinopteri, Scombriformes, Scombridae. The record is from RefSeq and is a predicted model, not a curated record. The transcript has 3 exons.